This is a long non-coding RNA of Numida meleagris (helmeted guineafowl), 679 nucleotides long. RefSeq lists it as uncharacterized. The record is from RefSeq and is a predicted model, not a curated record. NCBI's taxonomy places the organism in Eukaryota, Metazoa, Chordata, Aves, Galliformes, Numididae. The transcript has 2 exons.
CCUUGAUAUGUGCUGCUGCUCACCAGGUCUCACACUGCGUGACUGGAAAUGAUUCUAAAAUUAGCCCUGGUGUUUCUUACAAGUUCUCAGCCUCCACCCUGUGAUGUGCUGGCUCCACAUGCAUGGCUCUGCUUGCAGGAGCAGGUUUAAGUUCUUUGUAGAAACGCUGCAGGAAAUGUGAAUCCGACCGACACGUGAUGCUUCCCUAGAUUCUUUCCGUCGGCCCGAACCCACGCUCUGCCUGCCCAGCAGUUGGGCCGUGUUCGGUGGGACCCUUCCAGCCAUUCCGUAGCUGUGAGAGGAAUCACCCAGGCUGCGCAGUCAGGCACGGGCUUUUUCUUUUGAGCCUGGUACCCACACAUCAGGAUUUUCCAGAAAAUGAGCAGUAAGUUAUUUAAAGCAGUUGCCCUGCUCGUGGAACGUGUUUUGAGCGGAGGGGGAGAAAAAGUGAGUCCUUAGAGCGUGCUCAAACUAUCAAUGAAACUGAAGGAGCCUUUAAUUGGAAGCUUCGGGUUAACGAGGAACUACAGUUGAGCCUCAGCAAAUGGGUGGGUGCCUGUAAUUGUAAUACAGCUGUGACCACGCUGAGAAUAAAUGGCAGUGGAAAAAUCUCUGGCUGCAUUUUUAGUAUUCAAUGUUAGGAGUUUAUGAGAAAAGAAUAAAAGAUCAAGUACUUGUA